This 214-nucleotide long non-coding RNA is filed under the name Mus spicilegus (steppe mouse). Its description in RNAcentral is "lncRNA (ENSMSIG00000025409.1)". Lineage: Eukaryota; Metazoa; Chordata; Mammalia; Rodentia; Muridae. The record is from RNAcentral.
AAGAAGUCCUAAUAUUUCCCUGCCGUCUUUCUUUUUCAUGAUCUUUGGGACACAGAACUCUUAAAUUACUGUGGAAAUAACCUCCUGGCUGGGGUACAGUCCCUUAGAUGAACGGUAUCUUAAGGGUGCUUUAAACAAGACCCUUCUCAACUUUGCCAGACCACACAUCAAAUUCUUCUUGUGAACUAAAGGCAAACGCUUUGUCCUCUUGUGC